UGAUGCUGACACUGUUGCUCUUUGGGGUUUCUGAAUGCGGUGGUGAUUUUAGGGCAAGAGUAUCUUGAAUAUUUUGAAUGCAAAACAGUAUUUGUUGAGAAGCUGGUCAUCAUAAUCCUUUUUCCCACCUGGUUAUGAAUAUUGGAUCCCAUUUCAGGGCGAGGAACCCUGAUCCACAGCAGGCCAUGCACACAUGCUCUGGGCACAGCCUGGACUUGAGCAGAUCCUAUGUUGGAGGCCACCUGGGCCCCUUGACGAGUCAACUGUGCACCCAUUCCCAGAGGUAAAGGUGUGCAGUGCUCUAGUGGCUUUCACUAGGAAGUUCAAUGGACGAUUUUUGACAGAAAUGGUUUGUAUCCCUUUAUGCCUGUUCAAAGCCAUUGUUCGGGGUUUCACAUUGGCACUGAAGCUUGGCAUUGCAUUUGAGUCUGAAUGUCCUGGGGAGGAAGCCUCGGGACCCCUCUGUGUUUAUGGCGGAAUUCAUACACAGCUGCCAGUGACAGGUGACCCUUCCCCUGGCCAAGUGGCUAUUCUUAAGUGUUUCUGAUUCAUGGUAGUCACCAGUUAUCAGGGUUCCCGGGGUGUCUUCUGUUAUCAGAGAGCGGCGUGUACUUCAGUACAACUGUUUUUGUUUUUGUUUCCCCAAUCCUGUGCACUUCAUUAUAUUCACAUUUCAGAAACCUUCUUGACAAGGGGCGCAUUAAGCCUCACCAUUCCUGUGGAUGCUGUAAUGAAUUGCUAAAAGGUUUCUGUUGAGAAGUGUGUUUUUUCACAGCUCUGGAGGCAGAAGCCUGAAGUCAAGGUGUUGGCCGGCUGUGAAGGGGAAUGCACUCUGUGCUUUCUGUGCUUGCUUUCUGGUGGCCACUGGCUGCCCUGGUGGUCUUUGUCUUGUGGCUGCCUCACUCCCAUCUCUGGUUCCCUCUGCAUGUGGCCGAGUCCUCUCUUUUUAUAAGGACACCCUAAAUCCAGGAUGACCUCACCUCAAGAUCCUUAACUUAAUUUUAUUUGCAAAGGCCGCUUUUCCAGUAAGGUCACAUUCCCAGGCCCUGGGGCUUAGCACGUGGCCAUCUAUCUGGAGCGAUCACCAUUGAACUCACCAGGGAGCCCCCGGCACAAAGAAAGGCUAAGAGGUACCCCCACCUUCCUAAAGGAUUCCAAAUUUUUCUUGACAAAAUUUCAGUUUCCUGGUUUUUGCUGCCGUAGCUUGUCUGCAUUUUUGUCUUGCGAUUUGAAAAUAACAAUUUAUUCCGCUUACCACCUCCUUCCACC
Molecule: long non-coding RNA, 1269 nt
Filed under: Bos grunniens (domestic yak)
Lineage: Eukaryota; Metazoa; Chordata; Mammalia; Artiodactyla; Bovidae
Description: lncRNA (ENSBGRG00000013493.1)
Source: RNAcentral